UGAGCCCUCUUGGUUUUUGGUGGGUGCCCCUGAGGCUGUGAUAUUUGGAUCUUUUUGCUUUCCUGGUGCUGGUGUUUCUCGCCCCCUCUGCCUUCUUUCGGAAUCGAUUUCCUACUUGUUUUUCUUUUAAAAACUGCCUUCAUUGUUGCCUUAAUAUUAAUUCUGUUGAGUACGGUCACGCCUCAGCCAGAAUUCCUGUCAGAUCAGCUGUUGAGCCCCGGGAGCAAAAAUCACCCGAGAGUUGGCGUUCUCUGGUCUACUUCAGCAGUUUCUACUCUAAGCGAGUCCACAUUGGGCUGGCUAGAGAUUUAUUGCAUCCGUCCUUGGAAGAGGAAAAGAAAAAACAUAAAAAGAAACGCCUAGUGCAAAGUCCAAAUUCUUACUUUAUGGAUGUAAAAUGUCCAGGUUGCUACAAGAUCACCACGGUUUUCAGCCAUGCUCAGACAGUGGUUCUUUGUGUAGGUUGUUCAACAGUAUUGUGCCAGCCUACAGGGGGAAAGGCCAGACUCACAGAAGGGCACGGAUUGAAAAGUUUGACAAACAUGAAUAUAAGACCUAGAGAUCAGUAGUCAGAAAGACAUAAGGAGAUGAAAUGGAUCUGUUUUAGAGAGGUGCUUUCUUUCUACUUUAACCAACUCUGAGAUAUCCUUCUAUUUACUUGUAUACAGUAUUAAGUGAAGAAACACAUUUAGGGCUGAGAAUUAUAGAAAAGCCCUUCUACUUUGAUUUCAGUGGCACACUGGCAAUCUCUAGUACACAGGAUCUAUGGCUGUUGGAACAGAAUUCCCCAAUAUGUUAACAUUGCAGCCUCCAAAAUGGCUCCCAGUGAUCCCCACCUUCUGGUAUCCACUCCUUUGCGCAGGCCUCUCCCACAUCAAAUCAGGGUUGGUUUCUGUAACCAACACAAUCUGGCAUAAAUGAUGGCAUAUAACUUCCAAGGCUGAAUUACAAGAGACAUUGAGGUGUUUGUCUGAUCUUCAAUCCCCUGCUCUAAAGGGAAGCCAUAGCACAGACAAGCAGACCUAUGGAGAGGGCCACAUGGUUAGAAACUGAAACCUCUUGGCCAAAGCCAGUAAGUCACAAAGACCUCUUGCCUGUAGCCACAUGGGUGAAUCAUUUUGGAAUCAGAUUCUCCAGCCCCAGUUGAUCCUUCCCUCAGAUGCCUGAAGCCCCUGCUUACAUCUUGUCUGCAAACUCAUGAGAGACCUUGAGCUAGAAACACCCAGCAGAGCUGCCCCCAAAUUUCUGAAACACAGAAACUGUGAGACAAUAAGCUUUGGGGUAAUUUGUUAAUGCAGUAGUAGAUACCUAACACACAUUAUACUACAGGAAAAAGCUCAGACUUUUAUACUACAGACACAGAAGGCCAGAUAUGGUAUGAUUCCAUUUAUAUGAAACAUUCAUAACAGGCAAAUCCAAAGAGAUAGAAAGCAGUUUGCUGAUUACCAGGGGCUGGAGGAACAGAGGAAUGGAGAGCAAAUGCUAAUGAGUAUGAGGUUUCUUCUUGGAGUGAAAAUGAAUUGGAUAGUGGUAAUGGGUGCAUAAUCUCGUGAAUAUACUAAAAACCACUGAAUUGUACAUGUUAAAGAAUUUUAUGGCAUAUGGACUGUGAAUUAUAUCUGAAUUAUAUAUG
This is an RNA transcript of Sapajus apella (tufted capuchin), 1633 nucleotides long. It is a transcript of the gene named ribosomal protein S27 like, with no coding region annotated. Lineage: Eukaryota; Metazoa; Chordata; Mammalia; Primates; Cebidae. The transcript is spliced from 4 exons. The record is from RefSeq and is a predicted model, not a curated record.